GUUGUUUCACAAAACAACUUCGUUAGCGUCUCUAAAAUGGCGUUCUCUCGUUUUAUCAACACGUGAUGAGCGUGGUCCUAUCCAGUGUUGCCAACUCUUCAGUAAGGAAAGCAGCUAUUGGCUGUCCUAGAAGUCUCUAAAUGACGUCAUCACCUAUUUUGCAUAAGUGGCCAUGUACUUUUAAUUGUGAUGGACGUUGUUGGAGAGAGUACGUCGUGGGAGAGACAAAAACUAGGGCGGGAUCAGUCAGCAACGGCUUCCCGCAUGAGUGAUUCAUUUGCUGUCUGGACGCGGAGGGGUGAACAUCUCCUGCUCUGACUGCAGCUGGGAGGGACUGCUGAGCGAGGACUGGGCCGCCUGUGAGUGCUUUAGGACGGGGGUGUGGCCCACGGCAGCACCCGCUGCUCGUUGAGAAGUCGGGUCAGACGCCGGGCACCAACCACACCAGGAAUUCUCUUCAAGUAUUCAACCUGAACAUCCGUCGGCACCCCUGAGAUGACUCCUUUGACCGGUGCUCUACUCCAAAGUUCAAAACACAAAACUUCUGUUGUCUGGAUCCUUUUGAGGCCCACAGCAAUCUUCCUCUGCUCUUCAGAAAUACAAUUAAUUAAAAUAAGACCUCUCCUGGUCACUCUGA
Salmo salar (Atlantic salmon) is the source of this 637-nucleotide long non-coding RNA. RefSeq lists it as uncharacterized. NCBI's taxonomy places the organism in Eukaryota, Metazoa, Chordata, Actinopteri, Salmoniformes, Salmonidae. The record is from RefSeq and is a predicted model, not a curated record.